ACUUUGAUAGCUUAUAAAGAGUUUAACAUUGAAGCUGUUAAGGUGGAGUUUCCUCAGAGUG
RNAcentral lists this transfer RNA (61 nucleotides) under Tetrastemma olgarum. RNAcentral's name for it is "tRNA-Phe". The record is from RNAcentral. Lineage: Eukaryota; Metazoa; Nemertea; Enopla; Monostilifera; Tetrastemmatidae.